Brassica napus (rape) is the source of this 13040-nucleotide long non-coding RNA. RefSeq lists it as uncharacterized. NCBI's taxonomy places the organism in Eukaryota, Viridiplantae, Streptophyta, Magnoliopsida, Brassicales, Brassicaceae. The record is from RefSeq and is a predicted model, not a curated record. The transcript is spliced from 4 exons.
CGGUGAUGUAUAGCGGCUUCUCCACAUGGGAGAAGUGCGGUGAACACCGGGUAAACAAAAUCUCGUGUGUUUUUAUUUCUUUCUUGCUUGAUUCUUGAUUGAUUAGAUUCGUUUAGGCUUGAGAUGAUUAUUGAGUUAAGCCAAGAUUACAGGAUGAAUCCUCAGCAGCUGAGUUAGAUUAGUCGAUUGAUAAAGAAAUAUAACUAAAUUGACCUAAUUAUAUUCUCUUGCCGUAUGUUGAAGCCUCUCAUAGUCUAAGGUAGUUAGGUGACUGGGUCUCGCUCACACUUCUACAUGCAAUUAUACAUAUGUUUUCCGUAUUUAAAAUAGUGAACAGCAAUCAUUCAACCUGUUCGGUUAGGCUGGGCACAGAGAAAAUACGACCUGAAUUUUUGGUAUCUGUGAUUUGUUUCGUACGUGACGGAUAUCUAAUUUUUCUAUUUGUUUUGGUUCAAAAAAAUACAGAUAUCCAGAAAACCAGAUAUCCGAAAAAUAUAUAGAUAUUUGCAGAUAUUUACGAAUUACAUUUACAGAUAUCAAAUCUGUUUUACUUAAUACAAAUAAUCUAGAAAAAUUGAUCUAAAUUUAUUCUUUAAAAUAUUUCUUACACAUAAUAUAUAAAAUAAAUAUUAAAAGAAGUAGUGAAAGUACAUGUUUUGUAAAUUUCAAUCUUAGAGUUAUCAAUAAUAGUAAGACAAAACUCAAGAAAAAGUUAUAAUUGUUAUAAAAGGUUUUGUUGAUUUAAUACUUUUAUAAAUAAUAAUGUGAAUAUAAUUUAUUAAAUUAUAUGCUAGAAUAAUAAUUAUAUAGACUUAUACAUUUAAAACUCUAAAUUUAAUCAAAAUAUACAUGUAUUUAUAUAUCGGAGCGGAUAUCCACUUUUCAAAAUUUUAGUAUUUGUGAUUUGUUUCAAUUUUAAGGAAUAUUGAUUUUUAGCAUUUUUUUUGUUUCAAAAUUUUACGGAUAUCCAAAUUUUUUUGGAACAAAUCAAAACGAAUAACGAAUCGAAUCAAAAUUAAAGAAUAAAAUGCUCAGCCUUCCUGUUCGGUACACUAUUGACUCGGUGGACUUUUGCUUUUCGGUUGGUUUCCAUUUUUUCAUGCCAACUUUGAUUUAAAACAGUUUUAAACAGAAUGAUAUUUUGAAUUGCUUUUAUCUUCCAAUGAAUUUGCUUUGUUUUUUAUGUAAUUCCUUACACUAACCUCUAUACAGUAUUCUUUAUAACACGGUUAUACUAUAAAUCUUGAAUGAUAUAAUAUAUCAACAAGUAUAUUUACAAUAUCACAAUAAUAAAUGGGGGAUUUCCUCGAAAUCUAAGCAUUUCAUGUCAUCAAAAAUAUUCAACCAAUCAGAACAUUUCAUUUUCGGGUAUGGGCUUAAAAUUUGUUUAGAAUUGACUUAGGUGUAUGGGCUUAAAAUCUGAGAGAAACUUCAAAGAAUGAUUGUGAGGAAAUGUUAGUGUGUAUGGGACAGCAGGACUAAAGCACAGCAGGCAGCAGUCACUCAAGGAUGUAGGUUUCAGAGGCAUGAGAAGAAGUUGUAUGCCAAGAUAUAAAGGCAAGAAGCAUGGCGUUACUGAUAGUAAAAUCAAUGGAGUAAAAUCAGUUUGAGAGAAUCUGGUUUCGGGUUUAUCUGCUACAGGUUCUGAUGGGUUAAAGUAAGAAGGGUCUCACAGGGUUUGAAGUGUUCUGUGAAGAUGUUUUGUUGGCACAGACUAUAACAGGUUGGAGCACGGUCAGUUUGGUGGUAGUGAAAUCAGAUUGGGGAGCUCGGAAGAAGCUGCGACACUUGGUGGUUAUGAUAUUAGCGACUAUGGUUGAAUGGCUGCAAAUUAAUAUAAUUUUGAUAAGGUCUGAAACAAAAUUCAGAAGCAAGAAGCCAUGUUUACAGUCAGCUACACAAAGGGGUUAAGUGAAUCAAAGAAGAAAGUGCAUGAUGGUUAUAAGUCUGAGAAGUGAAUCUUCGUGUGAAGAGGAACACGUUGGGGUUUUGAAAGGUUAUUGUUUCAGAUGGAGUCUUGCCUCUACAAGUGUUGUAGUGCACAUCGCUAGAUGUUUUGACUUCAGGUGGAGCAAUGUUAUCUUUCCAGUCAUAUAUCUCAGGUCUACUUCAGUGUGAAAAGAUUUCAGAGGUCCUGUGGAUGAGCUUUCAAGAGCAACAGAGAUUCAGUUUGGUUUUGUGCAGCAAGUAGAGUAAAAGAGAGCCAAGUCAGUGUCAGCAGGUUCAAAGCUCAACAAGGUAUAAGCAAAUAGAGUAAAGGGGUUCAGCUUGUGGUCACAGAUGUGAAGAGGAUGUCGGCAGUGUUAGUAUGGGUUCUCCAUAGGAAGCAUGUAGUAAAACGACAUCAAGGCAGAGUCACUACAGGUAUGAUAAAUCAAUAUAUAAAAUACUUGUAAGGUGUGUUUUUUGGAGGUAUUCACAGGGACCAGGAAGAACAGUUCAAGGUGGAGCUGUUUGAGUCAAUAGCCAAGCUGAACAAGCUCAAGGAGUUCUCUAAGAGUAGUUACACAGAGACAGCAAGUGUUGUUGGUAUUGCCAGAAGAGAAUACAAGAAGGGUUGAGCUACUGGAAAAAAAAUGGAGUUUUCAGUAAAGUCUGGAACAAGCAGGGGCGUUUGUAUACCAAGGUCUAGUAAGGUUCACAGGUUAGCGAAGCACAGGUUCUUUGCUACAGCAAAGGUGUCUCAAGAGUUGUCACAGGUUUUGUGAGUAUGAGGCAGGGAAAAAGAAGUCAACAGGUGGUCAGAUUUGUGGUCUGAAGUUCUGUUGAGGCAGAUUUGUUUGAACAUGGUUUGAGCAGAGAGUUUCUACAUCGAAAAUCUUCUUAACCGGGUUGAGUUAAGCGGCGUGUUCUGCUGGUCAAAGCAGCGGCGCAGAGUGAUGUUCAGGUUUAAAGUUCAUACAGAUUGGUGUAGAGGAAAACUUCAGGAUAAGCAGUGAGUUUCUACUAGCUGUUGAGGUUGUCUACAAGGUUUCUUGAGUCAAAGUGCUUCUGGUGUGAGGCAGUGAUGAUUCAGUUUCUACAAGAGUUUCAAGAAAGCAUCGUUUUAGGUUUUGGCAGAUUAUUUGAAGACCUUAGCUGCAGUAACAAGUGAAGUAUCAUAAGCUGAUCUAUACUAGUCAAAAGAGAAGCUUAUGGAGUGUAUGUUAAGUUGCUGGUGAGUGGUUAUCUCAAGUUUCCAGGUUAUGGAAAGUGCCAAAGGAAGAUCAAUGAAGAAGUUUGGCAUGACAAAAAGGUUGUGAAGUGCUGAGAAAGGCACUUAAGAAGACGUGUGUGUGUUAGUGGCGCAUGAAUGGUAUUGUGAUUCACAUCACAACAAAGUAACGUGUGUGGUUCAUUGAUGCUGAUAAAAGUGAUUGAAGACUGGGAGUUGUCAAGGCUAGAGCUGGGUUUACAAGGUUCUAAGGAGCAGCGGCAAGAGAGUCUUCAGGUAUAUCGAGAUAGAUACUGGAUAAGAUGCUGGAAGGAAACAAGUUUCAGGAAGCGUUGAAGCUGAGUGGUGAAGCUCGAAGUGAGAUAAAGCUGGAUGAAGUUUUAUUCAUAGGAGUAUGAAGCUGAGAAGGUGAUUUCUCAGGAUAUUGCAAGAAGAUGCAGAGGUUGCAGGAAGGUGCAAGGAGUUGCAGAAGUUGAGCAGGUUUGCUUAAUCACCGGAGAAAAGCUCAAGAGAAGAUAAGACAUCAAGAAGAUCGAUGCCAAGGUGGAGAUUGUAGAAUUGUGCCAUCAAUCUUCUAAGUCUCUAAGUCAAAGAAAGGUUUUGCCGAAGCUGAUAACGUACACGUGAGGAGCACGUGAGUUGGGGCAAAAAGGAAUCAUUAUCUUCUGUGUAUCUCAUCGUCAUCUUCUUCCUUAACGGAGAGUCCGUAACAGAAUCAGAAGAGAGCGAGAGAGCUCGAGAUGAGAUGAGAGAGUGAGAGCGAUUGGGUUGGUGAGAGUGAGCUAGAGAGAGAUGUGAUUCUCGGUUUAUCUAAGCUCAGAGCUUAAUCUUCUUCCUCAAUCUUGUAACUCGGAUUAGGUGUAAUCGAGAGAGGAAGAAGACGAGUGAACCUCCGGUGAUGUACUCUGUACUCACAUUGAUUAUAGUGUAUUGGCUGAGAGACCGUUUCUCUCCCCGGUGAUGUAUAGCGGCUUCUCCACAUGGGAGAAGUGCGGUGAACACCGGGUAAACAAAAUCUCGUGUGUUUUUAUUUCUUUCUUGCUUGAUUCUUGAUUGAUUAGAUUCGUUUAGGCUUGAGAUGAUUAUUGAGUUAAGCCAAGAUUACAGGAUGAAUCCUCAACAAGUGGUAUCAGAGCCUCAGUUUAGGCGAUUCAAGGAUUCAUCGGAAACAGAUCAAGAUCGGUUCUGAAGGAGAAUCGAAGAAGGAUCGGAGGAGUUGAAGUUUCGAUUGCAUCGUUGUUGUGAGAGUGAAGAAUCAGUAGAUGUUGCAAGAUAUGCAAUGUCAAAUGCAAAGAAAGAAGAUGAAGACGUUGGCUCGUGGUAGACGACGACGUCGGAGACGUAGCAAAGGAAUCUCACGAAGGAACAUGCAAUUGGUUCAGAUAAUUUCUGGUUUGUGAAAUCAAGUGCAUCACUAAGUUAUUCUCUCUCAUCUCAUGAGUUAUAAGAUCGUGUGAGCUGCUAGGAUAAAGAAACUUGCAUGAGAGUUUGAUAUGUUCACAAGAGUAAAAAGAUCCAUCCACUGAGGUAUGAAGUAUCAGAUAUACGAAGCUAUUCUGCAGUUCUGGAACUGGUUUGAUGCUGGCUGUUUGAGGUGGAGGAUCUCAGGUUAAAAUUGGUUCAUGUUAAGUCAAUAUCAGACUUAAGGCUACAGAAUCAAAGUCAGUUCAUAGUUCCCUCAGGUUCAAGUCAUGGAGACAAAUGGUCUCAUUCUGCUACAGUCACAAAGCCUUGUUGUGAUGGCUGGAUACUCAUCUACUGCAGUGUAUAAAGAAUGGAAGCUCUCUGAAUCACAAGGGAUUUAUGUUAUCUUUGCAAAGAAUGAUCAAGACUCGGGUUUGGUGUCAAAUUGUGUGUUGAUCAGCUUGUUUGUGGAAGGAAGAUGCAGCUGUGGUUUCAGGAUAUUUGGAAGAAUGGCAAUUGGUGGCACUUAUGAAUUUCAGGUUUAAGGGACGCUUUAGAAGUGAGUUUGUAUGUGUGUCAAAGGCUGUUCAGGUACUGUUAAAGUUUUCAGGAUUCAAGUUUGAAGGUAAGCUGCAGGGAAUGGUUCAUGAUGAGUUUCUGGAGGUUAUGAAACAAGACAUGUUUGGUAUUUUGAGGAGCUGGUUCAAGUUUUCAGAAAGUUUGAGUUGCAGGUUCAGUCACAGAGAUUAAGGGUCAGGUUCUGGUGAAUGAAAGAAGCUCAGUGGUAAUGAUCAAGAUCAAGAAAAGGAUCACAAUGGAGCUUGUAGCAGCAAGGAUUGUUUCUACACAAAUGAAACAAGGCUGUUACGUUUGAGAAAUUCUUCAAAGCUAGUAAAGUGAUAAAACAGAUGGGAUUAUGUGGUAUAUCACCUGACGUUUUUUAUUAGAAGAAUGCGUGGAGUCAUCAAGAAAGAAGCAGAAGCAGGAACAUGUUAUGUUUGCAGGAACAUGUUAUGUUUCCAGAAGGAUGCGUCAAGAGAAAAGACAAGAGUUCUAGGAGCAAUGUGAGUAUAUGCUGGAAUAGAGUUUCUUGUGGGAUCAAAGUUGAUAGCUUUGGAGAAGUAUGAGUGGAAGAGGCAGCUCGUGGUAUAGGUUUAACUGUCUCGCUCAAGGCGUUUCUGCAGAGGUUUAAAAGCGAUGAUUUCUUAAAGAGAAAGAAGGCUGAUAAAAUAUCAGUGAUAAGGAGCCAAGGAGAAGAAACAAGUUUCUGGUUUUAUGGCUCAAGGAAAGGAAAGCAAGGAGUUUGUUUUGCUGGUUGCAGUUCUUUUGAACAUGGAGUCUACAAGUUCAAGUCUGUGUAGGAUGUCUCAGGUCAUUGGCAUUUUUGUUCUGUAUUUUUUUUAAGACACAUGAGAAGUUUCAGGAGAUGGAGAAAUCUGAGAGAAACUUCAAAGAAUGAUUGUGAGGAAAUGUUAGUGUGUAUGGGACAGCAGGACUAAAGCACAGCAGGCAGCAGUCACUCAAGGAUGUAGGUUUCAGAGGCAUGAGAAGAAGUUGUAUGCCAAGAUAUAAAGGCAAGAAGCAUGGCGUUACUGAUAGUAAAAUCAAUGGAGUAAAAUCAGUUUGAGAGAAUCUGGUUUCGGGUUUAUCUGCUACAGGUUCUGAUGGGUUAAAGUAAGAAGGGUCUCACAGGGUUUGAAGUGUUCUGUGAAGAUGUUUUGUUGGCACAGACUAUAACAGGUUGGAGCACGGUCAGUUUGGUGGUAGUGAAAUCAGAUUGGGGAGCUCGGAAGAAGCUGCGACACUUGGUGGUUAUGAUAUUAGCGACUAUGGUUGAAUGGCUGCAAAUUAAUAUAAUUUUGAUAAGGUCUGAAACAAAAUUCAGAAGCAAGAAGCCAUGUUUACAGUCAGCUACACAAAGGGGUUAAGUGAAUCAAAGAAGAAAGUGCAUGAUGGUUAUAAGUCUGAGAAGUGAAUCUUCGUGUGAAGAGGAACACGUUGGGGUUUUGAAAGGUUAUUGUUUCAGAUGGAGUCUUGCCUCUACAAGUGUUGUAGUGCACAUCGCUAGAUGUUUUUUGACUUCAGGUGGAGCAAUGUUAUCUUUCCAGUCAUAUAUCUCAGGUCUACUUCAGUGUGAAAAGAUUUCAGAGGUCCUGUGGAUGAGCUUUCAAGAGCAACAGAGAUUCAGUUUGGUUUUGUGCAGCAAGUAGAGUAAAAGAGAGCCAAGUCAGUGUCAGCAGGUUCAAAGCUCAACAAGGUAUAAGCAAAUAGAGUAAAGGGGUUCAGCUUGUGGUCACAGAUGUGAAGAGGAUGUCGGCAGUGUUAGUAUGGGUUCUCCAUAGGAAGCAUGUAGUAAAACGACAUCAAGGCAGAGUCACUACAGGUAUGAUAAAUCAAUAUAUAAAAUACUUGUAAGGUGUGUUUUUUGGAGGUAUUCACAGGGACCAGGAAGAACAGUUCAAGGUGGAGCUGUUUGAGUCAAUAGCCAAGCUGAACAAGCUCAAGGAGUUCUCUAAGAGUAGUUACACAGAGACAGCAAGUGUUGUUGGUAUUGCCAGAAGAGAAUACAAGAAGGGUUGAGCUACUGGAAAAAAAAUGGAGUUUUCAGUAAAGUCUGGAACAAGCAGGGGCGUUUGUAUACCAAGGUCUAGUAAGGUUCACAGGUUAGCGAAGCACAGGUUCUUUGCUACAGCAAAGGUGUCUCAAGAGUUGUCACAGGUUUUGUGAGUAUGAGGCAGGGAAAAAGAAGUCAACAGGUGGUCAGAUUUGUGGUCUGAAGUUCUGUUGAGGCAGAUUUGUUUGAACAUGGUUUGAGCAGAGAGUUUCUACAUCGAAAAUCUUCUUAACCGGGUUGAGUUAAGCGGCGUGUUCUGCUGGUCAAAGCAGCGGCGCAGAGUGAUGUUCAGGUUUAAAGUUCAUACAGAUUGGUGUAGAGGAAAACUUCAGGAUAAGCAGUGAGUUUCUACUAGCUGUUGAGGUUGUCUACAAGGUUUCUUGAGUCAAAGUGCUUCUGGUGUGAGGCAGUGAUGAUUCAGUUUCUACAAGAGUUUCAAGAAAGCAUCGUUUUAGGUUUUGGCAGAUUAUUUGAAGACCUUAGCUGCAGUAACAAGUGAAGUAUCAUAAGCUGAUCUAUACUAGUCAAAAGAGAAGCUUAUGGAGUGUAUGUUAAGUUGCUGGUGAGUGGUUAUCUCAAGUUUCCAGGUUAUGGAAAGUGCCAAAGGAAGAUCAAUGAAGAAGUUUGGCAUGACAAAAAGGUUGUGAAGUGCUGAGAAAGGCACUUAAGAAGACGUGUGUGUGUUAGUGGCGCAUGAAUGGUAUUGUGAUUCACAUCACAACAAAGUAACGUGUGUGGUUCAUUGAUGCUGAUAAAAGUGAUUGAAGACUGGGAGUUGUCAAGGCUAGAGCUGGGUUUACAAGGUUCUAAGGAGCAGCGGCAAGAGAGUCUUCAGGUAUAUCGAGAUAGAUACUGGAUAAGAUGCUGGAAGGAAACAAGUUUCAGGAAGCGUUGAAGCUGAGUGGUGAAGCUCGAAGUGAGAUAAAGCUGGAUGAAGUUUUAUUCAUAGGAGUAUGAAGCUGAGAAGGUGAUUUCUCAGGAUAUUGCAAGAAGAUGCAGAGGUUGCAGGAAGGUGCAAGGAGUUGCAGAAGUUGAGCAGGUUUGCUUAAUCACCGGAGAAAAGCUCAAGAGAAGAUAAGACAUCAAGAAGAUCGAUGCCAAGGUGGAGAUUGUAGAAUUGUGCCAUCAAUCUUCUAAGUCUCUAAGUCAAAGAAAGGUUUUGCCGAAGCUGAUAACGUACACGUGAGGAGCACGUGAGUUGGGGCAAAAAAGAAUCAUUAUCUUCUGUGUAUCUCAUUGUCAUCUUCUUCCUUAACGGGGAGUCCGUAACAGAAUCAGAAGAGAGCGAGAGAGCUCAAGAUGAGAUGAGAGAGUGAGAGCGAUUGGGUUGGUGAGAGUGAGCUAGAGAGAGAUGUGAUUCUCGGUUUAUCUAAGCUCAGAGCUUAAUCUUCUUCCUCAAUCUUGUAACUCGGAUUAGGUGUAAUCGAGAGAGGAAGAAGACGAGUGAACCUCCGGUGAUGUACUCUGUACUCACAUUGAUUAUAGUGUAUUGGCUGAGAGACCGUUUCUCUCCCCGGUGAUGUAUAGCGGCUUCUCCACAUGGGAGAAGUGCGGUGAACACCGGGUAAACAAAAUCUCGUGUGUUUUUAUUUCUUUCUUGCUUGAUUCUUGAUUGAUUAGAUUCGUUUAGGCUUGAGAUGAUUAUUGAGUUAAGCCAAGAUUACAGGAUGAAUCCUCAGCAGCUGAGUUAGAUUAGUCGAUUGAUAAAGAAAUAUAACUAAAUUGACCUAAUUAUAUUCUCUUGCCGUAUGUUGAAGCCUCUCAUAGUCUAAGGUAGUUAGGUGACUGGGUCUCGCUCACACUUCUACAUGCAAUUAUACAUAUGUUUUCCGUAUUUAAAAUAGUGAACAGCAAUCAUUCAACCUGUUCGGUUAGGCUGGGCACAGAGAAAAUACGACCUGAAUUUUUGGUAUCUGUGAUUUGUUUCGUACGUGACGGAUAUCUAAUUUUUCUAUUUGUUUUGGUUCAAAAAAAUACAGAUAUCCAGAAAACCAGAUAUCCGAAAAAUAUAUAGAUAUUUGCAGAUAUUUACAAAUUACAUUUACAGAUAUCAAAUCUGUUUUACUUAAUACAAAUAAUCUAGAAAAAUUGAUCUAAAUUUAUUCUUUAAAAUAUUUCUUAUACAUAAUAUAUAAAAUAAAUAUUAAAAGAAGUAGUGAAAGUACAUGUUUUGUAAAUUUCAAUCUUAGAGUUAUCAAUAAUAGUAAGACAAAACUCAAGAAAAAGUUAUAAUUGUUAUAAAAGGUUUUGUUGAUUUAAUACUUUUAUAAAUAAUAAUGUGAAUAUAAUUUAUUAAAUUAUAUGCUAGAAUAAUAAUUAUAUAGACUUAUACAUUUAAAACUCUAAAUUUAAUCAAAAUAUACAUGUAUUUAUAUAUCGGAGCGGAUAUCCACUUUUCAAAAUUUUAGUAUUUGUGAUUUGUUUCAAUUUUAAGGAAUAUUUAUUUUUAGCAUUUUUUUGUUUCAAAAUUUUACGGAUAUCCAAAUUUUUUUGGAACAAAUCAAAACGAAUAACGAAUCGAAUCAAAAUUAAAGAAUAAAAUGCUCAGCCUUCCUGUUCGGUACACUAUUGACUCGGUGGACUUUUGCUUUUGGGUUGGUUUCCAUUUUUUCAUGCCAACUUUGAUUUAAAACAGUUUUAAACAGAAUGAUAUUUUGAAUUGCUUUUAUCUUCCAAUGAAUUUGCUUUGUUUUUUAUGUAAUUCCUUACACUAACCUCUAUACAGUAUUCUUUAUAACACGGUUAUACUAUAAAUCUUGAAUGAUAUAAUAUAUCAACAAGUAUAUUUACAAUAUCACAAUAAUAAAUGGGGGAUUUCCUCGAAAUCUAAGCAUUUCAUGUCAUCAAAAAUAUUCAACCAAUCAGAACAUUUCAUUUUCGGGUAUGGGCUUAAAAUUUGUUUAGAAUUGACUUAGGUGUGUGGGCUUCGUUUGGUUUAGGUUUGAGAUUUUUUUCAUCUGCCAAUUAAGAUUCUGCUGAUCAACAAGAAGAAAGUUUUAGACGUUCUCUCUUCCUAAAACGUCUGCCGAUCAAGAUUCUUUAGGACUUAAUGGUAUUGUCUCCUGAAGCUUUAAAUCAGCUUAUCAUAGUCUCUUAAACCAUGAGUGUUUCUUUCUUCCUCGAGUCUGCAGUCUCCUGCUACGACGCCGCUUUGCAUUCUCCGGUCAGAUUAUGAAUACGACGGAUCCACAUUUAAUCACUAACGCCACUCAAAAGUUAGUUUUUUUUGCAGAUUCAACACAAUCGGCAAUACCAAAGCUUCAGAAAAGGAAAUUAAAGGGAAACGAUCUCAAAUAGGGACAAAGGCAAGAACCAAUAACAAUCUUUUUUUCUUUAGAAACAAUUUUUUUUUUGAAACACCAGAACCAAUAACGAAAAACUGGACUACCUUAUAAUAAUAUAUUCUCAAUUAAAUUGAAGCUCAUGUCACUCAUAUGUACUGUUUGACUAUUACUUGCAGUUGGUCGAAACGUUAAUCCAUGGGUUUAAGGUUUGAUCCAGUCGUAUCAGUGUUGGAUUAGUGUGUUACACAAGAAGAUACAAUAAAGCUAAUAUAGAGUCGUAUCAGUGUAUAGCUUCUGAUACGUAUCUCCUGCUCUCUAAUUUCUCCGAACACGUUGAAUAGGUUGAUUAGGAAAGGGAUCCCGCCGGUAUUAAGGUAAAAGGUUUGCCUUUUAUUUCUGAUGCUGCCAAGAAAAAUCCACCGCCCUAGAGAAUUAUUACAGUGAUUUGAGCAGGCCGAGAAGGAAAGACCACAUUGACAACACAGCAGAUUGAUCGUUCUCAAAAGCAUUGAGAAAACAAGAUGCUAUCGAUGCUGUUAUGGUUGGAAAUUUAGAAUACUUGCUGACAAAGAGAUAAUGGUUGGUAUCAGAGAGAUUCACUUCUUCCCUGCUCCAGAGCAGUGGUCCAUGUGAAUUCGUUGGUGUGUUGCCUUGGUUUGAUCCUCCAAGACAUGAUACUGGGAUCAACUUGCUAUUGCCAAAUAGACUCGACAUAGGCUUGGUAUGGGAUCAAACAUGUAUCCAUCAACAUCAGCUUCUCUACUUAGUAAUCACAAAGACGAAAGCCUAGCUGAUGUUCCGUUGAACAGUUGAUUGAGAAUGCUGAUGCCUUUGCUGCUGUCUUCCCAGGUUGGUUAAGAAGAGUUUUUUUUGUUCAUGAACAUGAUCUCUCUCUCUCUCUCUCUCUACAGCGAUAUUUUGGUUUAUGUUUCAGCCAGAGCAAAAGUACGAGAUUGUGAAGAAGUUGCAAGAAUUGAAGCAUGUAUGUAGGAUGACUGGUGAUGGAUGCUCUCCUGCUUUGAAGAGAGCCAAUAGUGGUAUCAAUGUUGCUGCUGCUACAUAUGCUGCACGAGGCGCUUCUGAUAUUGUUCUCAUGAAGCCUUGACUCAGUGUUAUCAUCAGCGCAUUGUAACCACUCAAGCUAUUUUCCAAAGAAUAAUGAGCUAUACAGUCAGUGCUCUCUUUUAAGCUAUAGUUUUCCACUGUAUCUCUUCUCCAAUCUCACUUUGUUUUCCCAUGUUGUUUUCUAACAGAUUUAUGCAGUCUCAAUCACCAUUCGUACAGUGGAAAGUAAACAACCUUGCAUGUAUUUUUAAACAUCUUCAACUCUUCCUGUUUACGUUCUCUUUGUACCUCUUUUAUGGUUUGGGUUCAUGCUCAUUGCUUUAAAAUGGACAGUGAGUUUCUCUCUUUUAAAACUUCUUCCAAGUGCUUUAAAUGUUAACUGCUCGACAUGUACAAUCAUGACUAUAUCAAAGGAAAAAGUCAUGCCUUCUCCUACACCAGAUAGCUGGAAAAUCAAAUAAAUAUUUGCAACUGGCAUUGUCUUUGGAGGCUAUUGGCUUUAGUGGCCAUCUUUUUCUUUUGUGUUGCUUACGGAACCAACUUCUUCCCGGUAUCUAAAAUAUACACAAUCUUUCUCUCUCUUUUUCUUCAAUCAACUUCUCCAUCACACAUGCAUAACUAGCUCUCUUUGUUCUUUUCUUUAGAGAACGUUCCAUGUGAGAGACUUGAGAGGCAAUGAACAUGAAAUGAUGUUUGCUUUGUAUUUACUAGUCAGUAUUGUGAGCCAAACCCUUAUAUUCAUCACUUGAUAAAGAGAUAAGUAUUUUGUAGAACGACCUGGUUUACGCUUACUUAUUGCCUUCUAAUAACAAAAGCAGUAAAGCAUAAAACAUUGUUUCAUUUCUACUUGCUUUUAUUUACCGAUAUGAUGUGUGAAAAUAUUUUUCUGCAUUUCUUUAGAGGAGUAUUCUCAAUUCAUAUUUACGAUAUGCAUAUGAGUAGUCAUCUCUGUGUCUCUUGUUGUACCGUCGCAAGAACUUGCGAGUCGGAGUUCAAUAAUUUUUUUUUUGGCGACAGUCGGAGUUCAAUACAAUUCAGCUUAUUUGUGAAUAUUUUUUGUUAAAUUCUCUGAGUAUUAUACAUCUAACUACGGGUCAUUUAUAAUGUUGUCCAGAAUUUGAGUGUCAUUUAUUAAGUGCCAACUUUUGAAAGUAUUUUACAUUGCUAUGGUUACUGUUUUUGCUUUCUUGGUUACAAAUAUGUUCUAUACUAAUUCAACUUUAUAUUGUACGCUGAAUUUUUUCUUGAAACAUGUAAUAAUAAUUAACUUAAGAUACGCUUAGACUUAUACCAAUGAACCCAUCUUAAAUUUUAUAAGAAGCAUUAUGCUUACGACGAACCUUAGAGCAACUCCGAUGGUGGGUUUUUACCAUGCAGUUGUUAAGUUAUAUAUUGGUGUAUGUAUAUAAAAGUAUACUAAAAUUCUUGGAAAAAAAACCAAUAAUAUCUUAUUUAACAUAUUAUUGAUUGGAUUUCCAAGAAUUUUAGUAUAGAAUUAAUUAAAUAAUAAUAAUUAUAU